Molecule: long non-coding RNA, 659 nt
Organism: Arabidopsis lyrata subsp. lyrata
Lineage: Eukaryota; Viridiplantae; Streptophyta; Magnoliopsida; Brassicales; Brassicaceae
Exons: 3
Source: RefSeq, a predicted model, not a curated record
UUAUGUAUCAUUACAUGUAGUGGCCAUUCCAUUAAUUGUGUUGCAAAAUGAAGUUUCUGUGAAGAAUUUGUUAGGAAGUAUUCUAGAAGAAUAAGUGAUGUGAAUUAUCACAAUCAACCAAUCAUGGUUGUUCUGCGUUUUUGGAGGAUAUCAGAGUUUGGAGGUAAACCUUGCUUGAUUACGAAAGGAGGUUGUCCAAGAAUGUUCAUCGAUGAAAAUUUCAGUGACAUUAACAGAGACUGCUACAUCUACUUUUUCACCACUGGAAAUAAAGAGACAGCAUCCUCAGAUAAUGAUAAUGUUUCUGAUGAAGACGGUGAUUCUAACUAAGAUUUGCAGCUGUGUGGAUGGGAUCAAGAAAAUUCCUCCUAUGUUAUAUUCUAUCUUGGACUUCCUUUAAUGCUUUGUUUUGCUAAUUUUUUUUAAGCAAUGUGCUAUUCCCGUAUUUGUAAAAUAAAACUCUUAUGUUCAGUUGUUUUUUAUUUUGCUUAUCUGUGUUUUAUUUUUAGUUUGCUUAAUUCGUAAGCUUUCUGUGUAAAAGAAAGCAUUGAAUAUCUUUUUUUUUCAUUGUGCUAUGAUCUAGCACAAGCUAUGGAAUAUCUUUUUUUUUUUAAUGUUAAUAAUGUUUUUAAAUUUCAGAGAACAUAAAGAAUUUUUUA